AUUGAACGCUGACGGCAGGCCUAACACAUGCAAGUCGAACGGUAACAGGAAACAGCUUGCUGUUUCGCUGACGAGUGGCGGACGGGUGAGUAAUGUCUGGGAAACUGCCUGAUGGAGGGGGAUAACUACUGGAAACGGUAGCUAAUACCGCAUAACGUCGCAAGACCAAAGAGGGGGACCUUCGGGCCUCUUGCCAUCGGAUGUGCCCAGAUGGGAUUAGCUAGUAGGUGGGGUAACGGCUCACCUAGGCGACGAUCCCUAGCUGGUCUGAGAGGAUGACCAGCCACACUGGAACUGAGACACGGUCCAGACUCCUACGGGAGGCAGCAGUGGGGAAUAUUGCACAAUGGGCGCAAGCCUGAUGCAGCCAUGCCGCGUGUAUGAAGAAGGCCUUCGGGUUGUAAAGUACUUUCAGCGGGGAGGAAGGGAGUAAAGUUAAUACCUUUACUCAUUGACGUUACCCGCAGAAGAAGCACCGGCUAACUCCGUG
RNAcentral lists this ribosomal RNA (490 nucleotides) under uncultured bacterium. RNAcentral describes it as "partial 16S ribosomal RNA". It matches the Rfam family "Bacterial small subunit ribosomal RNA", at positions 30 to 507 of the family's 1533-position model. The record is from RNAcentral.